GGUGGAAAUCCUGGAUCUCUCCAUUCAGUCAACAGGGCGCACUGACUCAUGUUCCAUGGUGAGGGUCCUAUGUUCAUGUUGACGGUCUGCGUCGCUGCAGCUCCCCAGCAACCGCCCCUGCCUUCACCAGGCAGCCCCUGCAUGCCUCUGCUGGCCCUGCGCGGGGUCAGGCGCGCCCCGCAGCCAGCUGUGUGGAGAACCUCUGGAAAAAGCUAUUGAAUUUCUUCAAAGAACACGUAUCACUUGUAUAAUCAGAAAAACCUAAAGACGGAACUAGAGAUUUUAAGUGAUAAAUCAUCACUUUACACAGUAUGUAUUUGAUGUUUCUCAAGGUAGUUAACUCCCCAAUUGCAUAAAAAUAAGAUUUAAUUUCCAC
Molecule: long non-coding RNA, 376 nt
Filed under: Mustela putorius furo (domestic ferret)
Lineage: Eukaryota; Metazoa; Chordata; Mammalia; Carnivora; Mustelidae
Description: lncRNA (ENSMPUG00000024502.1)
Source: RNAcentral